UUGGAGUUUUUGGAUUACAGAUCUGGAAUCACCUUCGAUUGGUUGAGAAGGAAAACCAAGAAUAUGAUGAGAGGGAGCGACAAGCUCGCAAGGAGAAGAAACUUGCCAAGGCAGAGGAAAAGAUUCUGAGAGGUCCACACGAGGAUCUUCAGAGCUAUCUUGAAGCAAUUGAUCAGCUGAGAAGCAACAUUCAGUAUUUCACUAACCACAAAAGUUUUAAAAGUACAGCCGGUGUACUUACCCAUGCCAAUAAUUUGCUGACAAAAGCUAUCUCAAAAUUAAAAGAUCAGUUUAGAAAUCUAUUAACAAACUACAGUGAGGUGGUGGAACCUGAACGCCUUUUCGAUGACCUGCCAGAUUCAUUGCGACCGUCAGCAUCACCUGCGAAGCGAGGUGAUAACAAGAAAGAUUCUGACACCAAAAGAACUUAGAAAAUGUUGUUUACACACCUCCUACUCUUAUACCUCCCAGGGUUCUACCUUUGCUGCGUAAUUUAUCCCAACAAAUGGUUCAAGUCGGCCACCAGCAACAGUUGUUCAGGAUU
Molecule: long non-coding RNA, 544 nt
Organism: Hibiscus syriacus
Lineage: Eukaryota; Viridiplantae; Streptophyta; Magnoliopsida; Malvales; Malvaceae
Exons: 3
Source: RefSeq, a predicted model, not a curated record